This 5063-nucleotide small RNA is filed under the name Pan troglodytes (chimpanzee). Its description in RNAcentral is "retained intron". Lineage: Eukaryota; Metazoa; Chordata; Mammalia; Primates; Hominidae. The record is from RNAcentral.
AGAAGAGGACUGACUCAACUCUGCGACCAGGCUUGGAACCCACAGGCCUAAAUUUCUGUGUUAUUUUAGCUCUGUAUUCCGUGACCCGAGAUUCUGGAAGGCCCAUGAGCUUCCUCCCUGGCCUCCCACGACUACAUCCUGAAGAUUGUGCCCACGGUUUAUGAGGACAAGAGUGGCAAGCAGCGGUACUCCUACCAGUACACGGUGGCCAACAAGGUGCGCGGGCGGUGGCUGGGCCGAGCUGUGUGCGGCGGCGCCCUCUGCUGACGGAGAGCAGAGAUGACAGGCGGCUGCACCGACGCACUUUCUUCUGGUUCCUUUCUGGAGGCCUUUCCUGGGGGUUAGCUUGGGCCAGGCGCUGUCCCUGGGUAAAAUUGAAAGGCCCAGUCCCUGCCCAUGUGGCAGUCUCAGAGUCAAGGAGAACAGAUCUAACCAGGAGAUAGGGUGUGAUGCGUUUGACAAAGAGCAGGUAGUCUCCGUCCUACAAAGGUCCUGGGGUUGCAGGUCUCAAACAGCCCUGCAUUUGGUCCGAGUCCUUUAGACACAGACCCCUGGGUGCUCAACACAGACAGACACUCCUGCUCUCAGGGCACAGGCACUUUACCCAAACUCAUGAGGCUACUGAGUCACACCAAGAUGGCUGUUGAUUAAUUUGCUGUUGAUUGACAGGGGUGUCCCCAGGACCCCAACACUCAAAGUCAUGGAGAAGACGCCAGGCCUUAGUGGGCAGCAGAGCAUGGUCAGAGUCUGCAGAGUGGGAUGACACAGCAAUUAGUGGUCUCAAGACAAGACAGCCUUGGGCUUCCCCGGGGGUAUCCCACCAAUGGGACAUGAAUACUUGAAACCUGUUGGUUGAAAUGCCCCUGCUAGACCCUGGUGGAUGGGUUUUUCCCACUUACCACCAGGACUGUCCUUUUUCUUCUGUUCCAAGGCUGCCCAAACCCCUUAUAAGUGAUACCUGUUUAGCUCAGUUAAUUAUAACAAUAGUAGGAGGCAUAGCUGUCACUCAUUGAGUACUUCCUGGGGGCUAGACAUGCUAAGCUCUCUUCUUCCGUCUUCUCGAUCAUCUGACAGCUCUGAUAUUGAGACUGUUAUUGAGCCCAUUUUGUUGAUUUGGCCAUUGAGGCACUGAGAGGUGGUUGUAGAGCUAUAAAGUGGCUGAGUGGGGAUUAGAACAGGUUUUCCUUGGGCUCCAGAGCCUGGCUUCUUGAUCACCUCACGCCUCAGUCUGAGGAAGGGGCUGUGAGUCUGCCCACCUGCGAGCUGCUCUCUGUCCAAUGACAUAGUCCCUCUGUUCUGACUCACCCUAAAUUGAUGUUCCCGGGAGCCCUGUUUCUUUUAUUCACUGUUUCACAGGGGGCAUCUCAUUGUAACCCUCACAUGCUCAUAGCAGCUAACAGAUGGAAAAGCACAGAUGCAAGCUCAGGACCACGCUGCAGUUCAAAUUCCAGCUCAGUCAUUCACUAGCUAUUGACCCCGGACAUGUCACAUAGCCACUGUGUGCCUCAGUUUACUCAUUCAUAAAAUGGAGAUGAUACUUUAUAAGAGUGCUGUCACAUGAGGCAAUGUUUUCAAAAAUGCCUAGCCCACCAAAAAAAAAAAAAGCCUUUAGGUAAGUGAUACUGACUGCUGCUAUUUUUCACUCUUUUUCUCUGUCCCUCAGCUCUGGGUUGUGACCCAGACAGUCACCCUGCCCCAGCAGCUCUCCUGGAGAAAGCUGGUCUUCCCUUGCGCAAAGCUCCUUUUCCCAAUGCUUUGGCAAGGCCCAGCAGCCAAAUACAGCUUGCUUAGCUUCUCUGUGGCUGCAGCCACACUCUGCCCUGGGAGCAGGCAGCAGCGACCCAGCGGGAGGUCAGGGCUCAGUGUUACUUACCCCCGGAGCGGCCUGGGCUCCUCAGGCUCAGCAUGUGGGGUUGGGGGUACCCCAGUGGUUCGAUUUGGCCUCCAGUUGUUGCAGACUUUAGCACCUUGAAGUGCCCAAACUGGAGAGAUCCCAGGGGUCAUCAUCCCAGGCCCAUCCGUGUUUAGAUGGGGAAGCCAAGUCCCUGAGGGAGGGAGGGGCUGGCCCAAGGAUGCACUGUUAGCUCAGCCUUUUAGUAUCCUUAGUCCCUGCUGUGUGCAUUCUCAGGAAGGUUGGUGGCAGGGCGGGGCCUUCUGGCUUUGCAGUUCAGUCUAUUCCUCUGAAGAAGCUAGCCCACUCCCCACACGGCAUUUACACCCAUCACACACACACACACUGGGACUCCUGCUUAUUCAUCAUGUGUGGCUCAGAAUGUCCCCUCCCCAGUCUCCCAGAUGCCGCCCGGGAGAAUGGGUCAUUCAUUCAUUCCCCUCAGCUCUCCAUGUCCCUCCAUCCCACAUGCGUGAUGUCGCAGUGUUAGGGAUAUUCUUAUGUCUUCCUCCUUCUGCAGACUGUGACUCCCUCUGGGGAAAGGGCAGGACUUGCUCACCUCGGGGUCCCCAGCAGCCAGCCAUGGGCCACCACAGUGGAGGCGUUCAGCAAACCAUUGUUGAAUAAAUGAAUGGAUUUCGCGUGGCCCAGAGGUUGAAGGAGGCAAUAGCCAAAAAUUGCACUUUUCCUUUUACAGCUCUGCUUUCUAAUGUAUUUUCUGAUUCUGGUCCUGCUUGCAGCUCACAUGGUCAAUUUCUAAACAACCAAGGGGGUCAAAAAUGCCCAGCUGUGCACGGCAGAGUUUAGGGCCUCCAGGGGAAGGGAUGUGAGAGAGGGAGUGGGGGAGUCUGGCUUCGUGGGGCAGAGAGGGAGGAAAGUCCUUUCUGGAGGGUUGCUGGGGGGCCCUCUGCAAUCCAGUCCCCGCCCACCCUGAGACACAGUUUGUACUUCUGAUUCUUAUAUCCUCUACCCUAGGAAUACGUCGCCUACAGCCACACGGGCCGCAUCAUCCCUGCAAUCUGGUUCCGCUACGACCUCAGCCCCAUCACGGUCAAGUACACAGAGAGACGGCAGCCGCUGUACAGAUUCAUCACCACGGUGAGUGGCCUGGGGCAGUGGGUGGGGCCCUGAGCCAGCCACCCCGCGCCUGCUCUGGGCCCCUUUCCUUGGCACCCCUCACCUGUUCUCGCUGAAACAGGAGGCAGCCUGCAGGGCUAGGGGCUCUGGCUGGGCACAGGAGGCUUCGACCCCAAGGAUGCUGAGAAAUGUUGUCAGAAACACAUCAGUAUCAAUGACGUUUUGUCUAGAAAGUAUUUUCCGGAGGGGAAUGCCCUGAAAUCCAUUUAAUUCCUGAAGCAGAUCUCCAUAUGGUUCCACUAGAUGUUUAGGAUUUCUCCAGCUUUUUAUUGUUACGGAAAUUAUUCUUAGCAGAGCUUAUCCUUUAAUGUGUAAAUUUUGCACCAAAGAUUUAACUCACUUUUUUCCAGGUCUAAUUUCCAGUUACAGCUGCUGAUAGGGUCCGAUUUUUCCCUUUCCUUCCUCUCUGUUCUCUUUUUUGCCGUGGUCUCUACCACAUCCAGUUUUCUCUAGGGCAGCUUCAAGCUGAUGUUAGUUUUCCUUUAUGCUGAUUAUUUCUAUCACGUCUACUGUUUCCUGGCCUCCCAUUCAGAAGGUCCUUGGGGUCAGAACAGGAGGGUCAGGGUGCCCUUCUUCACCCAAGAGGCCCAGGAGGUAGUGAAGAAGCCAGAGUUAGCUGAGGUGGAAGAGACAGGGUGGCUAUCCCUACUUCACAGAUUUGGAAACUGAGACCUAAAGAUAAAUAUGGCAUUGGGAGGCCCUUAUGCUUCUGUACUUCUUCAUGCUUGUAAUGAUGGUUCAAGAUCAAGGGCCUUGGCUCUUUCAUUUCCCGCAAUAACUAGGUCAGUAUUAGUCAGGACUCUGUUACCGAAGAUCCAGAACCAGACCUUGAGCUGGCCUGAGGAGUAGAAGGCUUCAGGCAUGGCUGGAUCCAGCCUUGAACAUUGCCAGGAGUAGGUCUCUAUCUUCGGAUCUGCUUUCCGCUAUACUGGCUUCAUCUUCAAGUAGAAUUUACCAGUAGAAAUGGCCUCUUUCUCAGUCAUUCUAACCAAGUCCUAGAUAGGACAGAGCUCUCACUGGCCCAGCUCAUGCCUCAUGCCAUCCUUGUGGCCUGGGAAAUCAAAUGCUCUGGUUGGCCAGGCUUAGGCCCUGUACCCUCUCUGGUGUCAACCCCAUCCAAACCGCAGGGACACAGAUUGUGAGGAAUGAGGUUUCUCAAGAGAAAAGGCAGGGGCCAGCUACUGGAAGAGGAAAGAGUGGGUGCCAGGAGGCAGAACAGUGGGAUGUUGUGACAGGGUCUCUGCCUUCUCAUCUGUGAAGUAAGAACGAUCAUCUCUGUUCCUGCCACCUCCCAGGGCCUUGUGGGACUCAGAGGAGAUCGUGAAAGGAGAAGCUGUUUGCAGAUGUGAAAAGCCAAGUUCACUAGAAAUUGGAGGGAUGGGAUUUAAAACAAGACUCAAUUCAGGCCAGACAUGGUAGCUCACACCUGUAAUCCCAGCACUCUGGGAGGUGGAAGCAGGAGGAUGACUUGAGGCCAGGAGUUUGAAACCAGCCUGGUCACCGCAGCAAGACCCCCUCCCUACAAAAGAAAAGUUAAAAAAUUAGCUAGACAUAGUGGCGCAUGCCUGUAGUUUCAGCUAGUUGGGAGGCUGAGGUGGGAGGAUUGCUUGAGCGUGGGAGGUUGACACUGCAGUGAGCCAUGAUGGUACCACUGCACUCCAGCCUGGGCAACAGAGUGAGACCCGGUCUCAGAAAAAUAAAAAAAAUUAAAAGACCCAAUUGAAUCCUAUUGGACUGACAGAAAUUGAAAACUUGCCCGGCUCACACCUGUAAUUCCAGCACUUUGGGAGGCCGAGGCGGGCAGAUCACCUGAGUUCAGGAGUUCAAGACCAGCCUAGCCAACAUGGCAAAACACUACUAAAAAUACAAAAAUUAGCGGAGCAUGGUGGUGGGCGCCUGUAAUCCCAGCUACUUGGGAGGCUGAGGUGGGAGAAUUACUUGAACCUGGGAGGGAGAGGUUGCGGUGAGCCAGGAUCACUCCAGUGCACUCCAGCCUGGGCAACAGAGUGAGACUCCGUCUCAAAAGAAAGAAAGA